This 168-nucleotide unclassified non-coding RNA is filed under the name uncultured fungus. RNAcentral's name for it is "sequence contains ITS1, 5.8S rRNA gene". The record is from RNAcentral. Lineage: Eukaryota; Fungi.
ACGAGGUUUGAAUUCUCUCGAAUUCAUCUUCCCAUCCUGUGAUUAUACCACAUCUUUUGUUUCUUGGUUGGCACUGAGUUGACUGUUGUCGUCUCAGGUAAGACCGACCAAACUACCAAAUUCUUGAAAAUUAUGAAUUGUCUAAACUUUUUAUUGCAAAAUAAAACA